UAUCAGAUUAGGUAGUUGGUGAGGUAAAGGGACUCACCAAGCCGACGAUCUGUAGCUGGUCUGAGAGGACGACCAGCCACACUGGGACUGAGACACGGCCCAGACUCCUACGGGAGGCAGCAGUGGGGAAUUUUGGACAAUGGGCGCAAGCCUGAUCCAGCAAUGCCGCGUGCAGGAUGAAGGCCUUCGGGUUAUAAACUGCUUUUGUACGGAACGAAACGGUGAGCUCUAAUACAGUUUGCUAAUGACGGUACCGUAAGAAUAAGCACCGGCUAACUACGUG
Molecule: ribosomal RNA, 283 nt
Filed under: uncultured bacterium
Lineage: Bacteria
Description: partial 16S ribosomal RNA
Rfam family: Bacterial small subunit ribosomal RNA
Source: RNAcentral